AAGAAAACUCCUUACAAGAUGGAGAGGUUCCUAACAACAGAUGAUUCCUUCAAAUUGUUGAUUGGAUUUGGCCGUGGGUUUAGCCAAACAAUGGGAAACUAUCUUAUAUGAUUAAAAUCGGUUUCCGUGGAGUGCAAGGACAAACAAGAUCUAAGCCUUAAAACCCUUUUAAAGAUACAAAUUCAUUCCUUUUGUUUGACAUCCACACCAUCCUUCAAAUCUACAUCAUAAGCUUGCUAGCUAACUGAUUUCAAGGAGAAAAUCCCAUCG
RNAcentral lists this unclassified non-coding RNA (270 nucleotides) under Hevea brasiliensis (rubber tree). The record is from RNAcentral. Lineage: Eukaryota; Viridiplantae; Streptophyta; Magnoliopsida; Malpighiales; Euphorbiaceae.